CAGAAAGUAGUUUAAGUUAGAACGCUGGCUUUGGGUGUCGGUGGUGGAGUUAGAUACUUUCUUUCUGA
Molecule: transfer RNA, 68 nt
Filed under: Macaca assamensis (Assam macaque)
Lineage: Eukaryota; Metazoa; Chordata; Mammalia; Primates; Cercopithecidae
Description: tRNA-Pro
Rfam family: tRNA
About the family: Transfer RNA (tRNA) molecules are approximately 80 nucleotides in length.
Source: RNAcentral